Molecule: non-coding RNA, 996 nt
Organism: Pelobates cultripes (western spadefoot toad)
Lineage: Eukaryota; Metazoa; Chordata; Amphibia; Anura; Pelobatidae
Source: the annotation of a GenBank genome assembly
GCCCGCCUCUGCACUUUUUCUAGUGCCAUAAUAUCAUUCUUUAGAACAGGUGCCCAAAUUGCACAGCAUAUUCAAGAUAUGGUCUUACCAGUGAUUUAUAAAGAGGCAAAAUUAUAUUCUCAUCCUGAGAAUUAAAUGCCCUUUUUCAUGCAUGACAAUACCUUACUGGCCUUGGCCACUGCUGAUUGACAUUGCACAUUGUUGCAUAGUUUGUUGUCUAUAACAAUUCCCAAAUCCUUCUCAUGUGUUGUUUUCCCUAAUUUGCUCUCAUCAAGGGUAUACGUUGCUUGUGCAUUCUUUACGCCAAAGUACAUAACUUUGCAUUUUUCUGCAUUACAUUUAAUCUGCCAUUUGAGUGCCCAGUCCACCAGUCUAAAUCCCUCUGCAACAAAAUAAUAUCCUGCUCACACAUGGCUUCUCCAUUUUGGCUUUAUUUUUGUUAAGUAAAUCACGACAUGGUGUAAUAUGUCAUGUGUUGUUGUUCAUCAGAGCUUUACGUAAUUUUAAGACCUGCUAAGGAAGAGAUGAUUGUUAUUGUGUCGUGAUAUGUAAAACCAUAGAAUUCAAAGAGGGCAUACUAUAUUUUUCAGGACUGUAUAUGACUUGUGAAGAAACCAAAUAUUGUUACUCGCCCUUUGCCCUGCAGACAAAGUGGCACGAUUGGCCAUUAAAUAUUCAGGUUACCGUUUUGAGAUUCUGUGACAGCUGUUUGACUUUAACACAUUGUCGGCACCUGUAUUCCACCAACUGGCUUAUGGCUUGUCACACUUGAUGUGAGUAGCUUCUACAUGGUGACCAUCAGUGGAGAGAGCACUGAGGCUAUGAGAAAGGUCUUAACAGAAACUGACCAACCAGUAAGCUUUCCAAUUAAUUUUAUCUUACAACUCUGACCUUAAGCAAACACUAUUGUGUGAACUAGCAGCCGGAGCGCUCACUUCACCAUCUUAUCUGCUUCUUUCUACAAUACCGUCUAGGGCUGGUUAUGUAUUUUUUCUC